This is an RNA transcript of Gadus macrocephalus (Pacific cod), 2135 nucleotides long. It is a transcript of the gene named adenylate cyclase activating polypeptide 1a, with no coding region annotated. The record is from RefSeq and is a predicted model, not a curated record. The transcript has 6 exons. NCBI's taxonomy places the organism in Eukaryota, Metazoa, Chordata, Actinopteri, Gadiformes, Gadidae.
UUGGAGCCAUGAAUUAAAAACUGAGAGACGCGGGAACCGAAGGAACACGCAGUCCUUCUCCUCCGCCCCGCACACACGUCUUGUAGUAGGUAGAGUUCGUUCUCGCCAGUCCGAGAACCGGUGGAACCACAGGACGCACAGGGAAGAAGCACUCUCCACUGAGGAACUAUCCAGCGAUUGAGAGACAAAGAGAGAGAGUUAAGGGAGGAAGGAAGGGAGGAAGGUUGAUAGAGUGGAAUUCUCUUCAGCCGAUCGCAUGAUUCCUGGUUCACGCUCUUUUCACAGCGGGACGAUGUUGAGGAAAGCGCUCGCGGCAUUAUUUCUCUACGGGCUCGUUACGCACUACAGGGCGGGCUGUUCUCCCGCGGGACUCCUUCAACCCGACGACAGACUCGACGACGACGUCUUCGACGAGAACGGGGAAUCGUUACUGCGUCUGCCGUUUGGCGGGAACCAACUGACGUUACGGAGCGCACCAUCAGAGGACGUCUACUCCUUAUAUUACCCCGAGGAGGAGAGAACCCAGCGGCACGCGGACGGCAUGUUCAAUAAGGCGUACCGGAAGGCGUUGGGUCAGCUGUCCGCACGGAAAUACCUCCACGCGCUCAUGGCGAAACGUGUAGGCGGGGGAAACUCAAUGGAGGAGAGCGAGGAGGAGCCUCUGUCGAAGCGGCACUCGGACGGCGUCUUCACGGACAGUUACAGCCGCUACCGCAAGCAGAAGGCUGUGAAGAAGUACCUGGCCGCCGUUCUUGGGAAAAGGUACAGACAGAGACACCGGAGCAAGGGACGCCUGGCAUAUUUAUAGCUUCCUCAAAACAGAGCGUUAGGAUGAGUGUGUACAGCCCCGAAGAAUUCAUUUAUCCAGUUAAAGGAACAACAAUCAGUGAACUGCAUUUAUGUUUUUUUUUGUAUUUGUAUUUAUGUAUAACGUAAGCCAUUAAAUGAAUAUUUUGAUAAUAUAUUGUUUUUAUUUUUUAACUCAGCACUUGAUAACGCACAUAUCUACUUUAUGGACCAACCUUUUGUUUAGAUGAUCUCUAUUUAUGUCUGAGUUUAGACGAUAUAUAUAUAUAUAUAUUUAUUUAUGUAGCCCACGCAUUUGUUUGUUAUUUGAAGAGUCAUUUGUUGAGGAUAAGGUCUGUUCAUUGAAGCUGCCCUGUCUUUGAAUACAUUUAGUGGAUGGAUAUGAAUUUAAGGAAAAUAAAUAGUAUAAAAGACAAUGCAUUGAAUGUUGCUUUUUGGACGGUGAAAUUAAGACUCUGUAGUUGUUCUCCUUCACAACAGCCUUGAAGACAUAGAUUUUGACCAAAUCCUACAUGAGAUAGACUUGGCUGCCCUGCCGGAGGUCCGGCAGCUUUUGGAAAGCUGGCUCAGACAGAUCUCUGGCGAGUUCUCGUCCACAGCCUGAACCCUUGAAGAGCAUCUUCUGAGAUCCAGCUCUCGCCAGCGCUAGCCCAGACCUAGCUCUCAGCAUUAUCUCUUAUCCUUAGCGGUCGGCGCUAGGCUGUCUUUCUCUCCUCCUAUGUGCCUGUGUAAACCUCCACGUGUGAAAUCAAUCUCUCUUUAAUCCCCCCUCCCCCUCUAGGCUCUGUGAUUCUGAAGGAUGCCCCCCCCCCUCCCCUUGCUCAGGUGCCUUGCUCCCUCUCUAAUGGCCCACCAAUCAGACGUGGCUGUUCAGUAGCCCUGCGAUGCUGCAUUCCGCCGACCCUCCCCGCCCCCCUCCCCCUUGCCACUUUGCUUUCGUUGUACGACCUGAGCUUCUGAUGAGGCGCUCAGCUCCAUCAAGCUAUGGUUCCAGGCGGCCAUUUUAUUCAGUUUCAGAGGUGUGUGUUCAGUUUUGUGUUGUUGUGAAAGAGGAGGCUGAUCGCUGCCCAUUCCUCUUGCAUUCCCUGAAGAGGAUCGUAUUUUAAAAAGCGCCAAUAGCCUUACAAGACGUGGAAAUACUCCUCAAAUCCUAUCUAUCUAAACAUAUGUGUCUAUUUAUGUAUAUUGACUAUGUAGAGGAAUUGCAUUUUACGGAGGACUGAACGGUGAUCCUAUGAGCUUCAGACAAUAAAUGUAAAAAAAAAAUGUGUUGUAAGAUUUGUAUGAAAACAUUUUUGCUGAAUAAAAAUUUCUGUCUAAUCUCUAAA